GAUGAACGCUGGCGGCGUGCCUAAUACAUGCAAGUCGAGCGAACAGACGAGGAGCUUGUUCCUCUGACGUUAGCGGCGGACGGGUGAGUAACACGUGGAUAACCUACUUAUCAUUCUGGGAUAAUCACGGGAAACCGGAUCUAAUACCAGAGAAUAUAUUGAACCGCAUUGUUCAUUAGUGAAUGACGGCUUUGCUGUCUGUAAUAGCUGGAUCCGCGCUGCAUUAGCUAGUUGGUAAGGUAACGGCCUACCAAGGCAACGAUGCGUAGCCGACCUGAGAGGGUGAUCGGCCACACUGGAACGGAGACACGGUCCAGAGUCCUAAGGGAGGCAGCAGUAGGGAAUCUGCGGCAAUGGGCGAAAGCUUGACGGAGCGAGGCCGCGUGAGUGAUGAAGGUCUUCGGAUCGUAAAGCUCUGUUAUUGGGGAAGAACAGAUGUGGAAGUAAAUAUGCACGUCUUGACGGUACCUAAUCAGAAAGCCACGGCUAACUACGUG
This 497-nucleotide ribosomal RNA is filed under the name uncultured bacterium. RNAcentral's name for it is "partial 16S ribosomal RNA". It matches the Rfam family "Bacterial small subunit ribosomal RNA", at positions 28 to 507 of the family's 1533-position model. The record is from RNAcentral.